RNAcentral lists this long non-coding RNA (593 nucleotides) under Homo sapiens (human). RNAcentral describes it as "non-protein coding lnc-SPINK2-1:3". The record is from RNAcentral. Lineage: Eukaryota; Metazoa; Chordata; Mammalia; Primates; Hominidae.
CCAGAGGACCUGCCAGGUGGAGGAACGCGAACUGGGGGUUGUGGGGGUGGCUUUGUGGAGUCAGCCACCCUCUUUAGUUCUUGCUUGGGCUUCGCUCCCAGCUCUAAGGACACCUGCCAUCUAGAGCGCUUUCUCUGUUAAAGUAGAUUUUCAGCCAGCCAAACUGCUCUCAGUAUAGAUUACCAGGAUGUCCCAGACACUUUAACCCUGUGUGUGGCAGUGACAUGUCCACUUAUGCCAAUGAAUGUACUCUGUGCAUGAAAAUCAGGGAAGGUGGUCAUAAUAUUAAAAUCAUUCGAAAUGGACCCUGCUGAUGGAGCAGUUUACAGAAAAGAAGAUGGAGAGACCACCUUCACUGGCAGACUAGAUAAAUUGCAUUUCCCCUUUUUCUCUUUUCCUGUGUUUCUUUACAUGAGAUUUGUUAACACACAUUUUCUGAGAGCAGGUAUGGAAGACAGCCAUGUGUAGUGAUGGAUAAUUUAAAGAAAAAAAGAAUCCUUGUUUCUUGGCUUUUGCUCCUGGAGUUAAGCUUACUGCCCAGGUGACUUGUGCAUUGCUUUAUUUAGUUGAAAUAAAAUCAGCAUUGAAUUCAG